GUUAUUAAACACAGGCUUUGAUGAUGACACAUUUCCCAUGUUCAUAACUUGUGAUUGGUGAAGAAACAGCUGAGGCCUAGAUAAGUUAUGUGCCCAAUGCCACACAGCUAGAAAGCUACAAAGCUGAAGUUUGAACCCAACUCAUCUUGGUCCAGAGUCUGUGCACAGAAGUCCUCAUACAUCCAGCACUCAGCCUGCUCUUGAGCAAAAGGUACAUGUCCAACUUAAGAAAGCGUUUACUACUAGAGAUCGCUGAAAAAAUCAUAAGUCAUUUCAAUCAGGUUGAAUGCACUGCCCCAGAGAUGUUCAAGAAGAGGUUCAAGGACUUCUUAGGACGGAGUUUUAUGAGAGGCACCAACAUUGAAGACAUCAAAUCCAAUUGUAAAGUCCUUCCAAAUGGAAGAUUGUAAAAGCAUCUAAAGGUCUAUUCUGGAUGGGAAGAUAACAUGGGCAAAGGUAAUGACUAUCUGGGAGGAGCAGACCAGUAUGGCUGUAAUGAGAAAUUCAUGGAGAAGAGUGGUUUCCAGUAAUGCUGCAAAAAUCGGCUAGAAUCAGAUUGCGAGAGACCCUGAAUGUCAGCAAAAUCGGGUUUUGGUCUUAAUCCUCUUAAUCCUUUAACUGAUGGGAAGACUUAAAGAGUUCCUCCUCUGGAAAGUGAUAAAGUUUUGCCUUUUUUUUUUUUUUCUAGUUUGGAGUUUUUUGUUUUGUUUUGUUUUUGAUACAAAGGGUAUGAAGUAAAUUAAUCAGAUGACAUUCUUGAUCUACUGCGAAUGACUCAGUCAAGCCUCUUUUGCAUCUUCUCUUCCUCCCACUGUCCACAAGGUGGCACCAGAACUCAAAAUCAGAACUCCCUGGAAGGUUGUCUAACUGUUCCAAGCCUUUCCUGUAGGAUGACUCCUAUAAAGAUACUUUUGAGGUGAACAUGUCAAAAUAUAUUUUUAUUAACAAUUUUUAAUCGGCCUCUUCAUUCACUCUGGUGUAUUUUUCCAGGAGUUAACAAUUUUCGUCUUAACUGACUGCAACGUUCUGAAGAACUUCUGGGGACUGUGCCAGUUUAGAGACUAUUGUAGACCAAAAUCAUAAACAACACAUCCUACAGAAAAUGCUAAUGAUCAACUGGACGUUGAUACAGUGGAAUUUGUUCGACCCUCGAUGACUUCCAGAAGGGGGGAGCUGUUCUAGUUCACAAGAUGGAGAGGUUUGUCAGGUGGCCGGUUAAAUAAGCUUCUUGACACUUAACUCUAGGUAGGAUGUGGAAGAAGAUGAAAGUCUGAGCCAACUUACUACCUAAUUCUUCAGGAAAGAAAUAGUGUAGCAGUUGGAGGUGUGUGUCCAAGAGGCGACGUGGCACAUGCCCUCCAGCCAGUUUUGUUGGACCCCAGUGGAAAGCUUUCUGAAUGCCAGUUCCUACCCAGAUUUCCCAGCUCACCAGUCCCAGCCAGCUGGCCAUGGACCAGAUUUGGCCUGAAGCAAUCCAACUUCUCUGCCAUCCAGUAGGUCCAGCCACAAUGAAUUUAGACUCCAAUGAAGUCUGAAUCUUAGUGCUGGAGAGGAACCCCCUUCUCCAAGUGUAUUUCUUCAUUUGGGACUUUCAGAGAAUUCAAGGGAAUUCCCUGAAUUCUCUUUUAUACCCUCUGAGUGGCUACUCACCUGCUACCAGUUAGUAUUUCUUUCUAUUAAAUAUUCCCUGAUCAAUUACUGGUGUUGAUUCUGUUUCCUUUUUGGACCCUGUCUCGUACAGUAAAUCAAUGAGUAAGAAGUCUGAAUACAUAGGACAUUUACUCAGUCUUAAUUCAAGAAUAUUCUGCCUUACUAGGCUAAAAAAAAUGUUAACAAGCAGAGCUUUUUAAAGACCUAAUGUAAUCAUCAGACUCCAGGGAAUAGAUUUUUACUGCUGGAUGGAGCCCAAGAGGCCACCAGCCUUUCCAGUUGAACCAUCCUGGUCACCCAGAGGUGAAGUGGCUUUGUUUAUGGAGUGGCUGUGUGGGACAUGCUGGGAGGCAGCUUCUCCUUGAGAUUCCCCUGGCUGCUGCUGAGGACCCUCUCCAGGAGCUGCACCAGAUGAUGCACUGACGUUUUUAUGAGGACCCAUGGGAGGGAGAAAGUUCUCUCAAGCCUAAGAACUGGGAAUAGUCAUGCUUCUUCUGAAUGACUCUUGGGAUUUAGCUCAUGGACACUCUUGAAACAUGUAACUGCGUGGUUCCUAUUUAGAACAGUGGCCAGAAAGGUCAGGAACAAAACGGUGGCUCUCUCCUGGUAAGCAGGCAGUGCCCCACGGCAAUGACGCUUUACAUUCCUGCUCCCCUGGCUUAACCUCAGCUGUUUUACACCCUGCUUUUUCCCUUGCCUUGAUUGCCUCAUGUAUUUAUUACUGUUAUCCUAUUACAUACAUCAGACACUUUAAAACAUCCAUUUAAGAGUUAGCUAUAAACAAAAUAUCAAAGUAUAAAUCUAUUCUCCUCAAGCUAACAUCAUUGUUCUUUUCAUUACUGUUUCCUUACAGCAACAAAGAAUUCAAAUACUUGUAUCUUCCUGAGAAUAGGUGCACCUCGGAGAUCCAAGAGCAAUUUGUUCAGAUAUUUCAAAAUUUCCUUUACCACUUGCUUACCUAAUUAAUAUGUGUAAUAAAUGUCCAAUUUCAUAUCCAAAUCACAAAAAUUGUUAGCCUGGGCUUUAUCAACUUUUUAGUAUUUUUUCAAUGCAAAGGUAUCCAAAUUGAUCAGUUUGACUAUUACAAGGCUGGCCACAGGCUCAGAAAGAAUAAACUUUUAUUUUUUCUUAUUUCUUUAUCAAAUUAUAGUGUCAAAAUGUGGUUUCUUUCAAAGACAGUCAUUUAGCAAUACUCCACAAAUUGUGGGGAAAAAAAAAAUUUGUGUCCUCUCUCUUAUUUUUGUGCUCUUAUUGUGUUUUCUUUGCUGAAUAAGCAGCUUUCUUUCUCGUGUCUCUAGGAUGGUGAGAGAUGACUAUUCAAAACCUUAUUUACACCUAGACUCCCUCAUGUUUCUGUGCUUCCGUGGCCAGACUUCCACAGCUAUCAUUUAUCAUGGGCAGUGACUCAUACCUUGUAGGGGCAAAAUAAAUAUUUGCUGAAUAAAUCCUCAGAGCUGCUACCAAAAAUGGGAAACCUUGGAAACAAAAAAGCAAUCAUAGAAAAUAAAGUAACUGCAGCUGUGGAAACAGAAAAGCUAUAUGAUAUUCUUGCUUUUCUCUUCAUAAUUCCUCCAAAGAGAGGCAGAUUUUGUUUUCUGUACUGAAGCUGAAAAGCAACGUAGCUUUGUCUUAGUCUGAUUUCAAAGAAUUCCAAACAACGUUUUUCUUGUUUUCCUUUACUUCAGAGAAAACGUGACACUUUGCCGUUGGUAGAUAUUCAUUCUUUUUGUUAAGUAUCUAUGUGAGAGCUUGUCAAUGUUUUUAUGCAGAUAGCCCUGGUAACCUUGGAUCAUCCUCCAGAAAGCCUUUGGUGAAGAAAAGUCAGGCAAAUUGACCUACAGACCAGUCUAAUGGGAGCAAUUCGGAGAAAUGGGCCAUGGGAACAAAUGACAGGAACAGAUAAAAAAAGAAGUGUAAAUGAACCAAAAAGGAGUCAGUGCUUCUGCUCUCCUAUUGCUAUAACCAGCACAUUACUAGACGUAGCCUUCUCUUGGUCUCUUAUUUAACCCUGAGUAUGGUUCAUAGAUAAAUGGGCCAGUGUCCUUUUAACCAUCAGAUUUUCCAUUUAUUUCAGAAAAUAUAAGAUCAAUUUUCCAUGUGAUUUAAUUGGGUUACUGGGUUAGUGCCCUUCAUGCCUUCAAACAUAUUCUUGUACCUAUUUGUAUUACCCAAGUCUUUGAUCUUCCAUAAUGAAGCCUGUGUUUCUCUUAGGGCCCUUCUGGGAUGACUAGCUCAACCGAAUCAAGGAGGAAUGAACCCUUAUUUCUGAACACCCUAAGUUCCUCAUGCAAGUGAGCUAACAGAAAUCAAAACAGACAAAUGAAUUGCAAAAGACACAUUUUAAAUACCGUAUCCUAUCAGUUGAUAUUUUAAUAAAACGGGUGACUAGAUUUUCAGACUUAGACUGGUCUUACAAGUAAUUUGUUUUUGAAAUUACUAAUGGGAAAAUACGUUGACAUUUUCCAACUUUAUCAAUCCCGUGAAAAGUUUUGAUGAUCACUUUUAAGACAUUUUAACAAAAAUAACCUUUUCCUGUAGUAUGUAAGCCUUUGGUUAAGGAAAGCAUGCAUGUUGUAAGUGUAAGUUCUCCUGGCAUUGCGGUGUAAGUAUGACCAGGAAGAUAAAAGGCAGUGGUGUAGCAAAACAGAGCUAUUCAGAUAUGUGUACAGACAGGAUCCCCGGGAGCCAAGGGAUGCUGUGUUGUGAUAUGCUGCAGUUACAUCUGCUCUUGUCCUGUGUGGUCAGCUCACUUCUGAUAAGAUGUGGGAUCUCUGAGGAAUUAAGUCAGGACCUCAAUCUAACCACUAGAGAGCCUGUCGUUGGCAUUAGCAGUGACAUUGGCCCUGCAGUAUGCAAUAGCUGAGCUUCCCCUUGACAAUCACAAAAGUUCCUCAAAGGCUGUCUGCAGGAUAAUGUGAGCAAGUAAAGAGGAAGAGAAGCAUGGCAUGCACAGUACUUAGUAAUGGAAAUAUGACAAUUCCUGUUGCUAUUUUUGACUGGUGCAAAAUUACAGUGGGGAUAAGGCAGUCUAGAAAAGGCUAUGGCUUCAGUGUGCUUAGUUUGGGGGUGAAAGUAGAGAUAAGGGUUGGUACAGUUAAAAAUAAAUGAUUCUGUUGCCAUGGUUUCCUUCUUUAUAAAUUCUUUUCAACAUGAAUUGCUGUUGUUGUGUUUAAUUUUAGAUUCAUGCAGAUUUUCAACAAAUAAGAAUUCCUAUACGUCUGAGAAAUGGUUUUUUAAAGCUGUAGGAAAAGGUUUUUGGCAGUCUGGUUUAAAUAUUUCUAAGCAAAACUAACAUGCAGGGUUCUGGCAUUUAGACAACUACCAAAGGAAAGCGAAUAAAGAGAAUGGGAACUUAAGGAACAUAUAAGGCUACAUUUAUUGUUCUGAUUAAAACAUAAAUUCAUAUUAUUGUAACAUUUAAGGGCAUGCUGAGUAUUAAAUAUGGCCUCAGAACCAUAGGAAUACAGGUGUUCCUCCUAUGGAGUAAGUCUCUUGACAAUGUACCCAUAAAAGAUUUCAGGUAUCAAACAUUAAUUUAGAUAAUUAUGUGUUUAUUAAUAUCAAAGGCUCUAAUUGUGUUUUCAAAACCUGUCAUAUUACCUCAAAUACAAUUCCAUUUUCUUGACUAGGGAACCAGAAUUACUUAUAAUUUAUAUCCACUCUAAAACACCUAUGUUUCAUUUUUUUAAAAAUUAAUAAUGGAUAUUUCAAAUUUGGAAAACAUAAAUGAGAAGGAAGAGUUGACUUUACCAAAUAAAUUAUUUUUCCUUAUGCAUUCCUUAUAGUAUCAUUUAAAUAAUGAACUCCCCUACCACAAUUAAAAUAGGUCUAGAUUUUUAAAAAGCAAGAAAAUCAAAUUACCUGUACAGAAAUGCGUUAUAAUGCAGUUACAAUGUAAACAGCAAUAAUACAGUCGCAGUAGUAAAGGAUGAAAUUCAUUACAACUGAAAGGAAAUGAGUGAACUAUAUUUGUCUUUAUAAAUUUAUUUUCUAAUUUCAUUACUCUGAUUUAUUAUAGUACUUAUUUU
This 5678-nucleotide long non-coding RNA is filed under the name Homo sapiens (human). Its description in RNAcentral is "HSALNT0374536". Lineage: Eukaryota; Metazoa; Chordata; Mammalia; Primates; Hominidae. The record is from RNAcentral.